GGGCCCGCACAAGCGGUGGAGCAUGUGGUUUAAUUCGAUGAUACGCGAGGAACCUUACCAGGGCUUAAAUGUAGAUUGCAUUAGCUAGAGAUAGCUAUUUCUUCGGACUAUCUACAAGGUGCUGCAUGGUUGUCGUCAGCUCGUGCCGUGAGGUGUCAGGUUAAGUCCUAUAACGAGCGCAACCCCUGUUGUUAGUUGCCAGCGAGUCAAGUCGGGAACUCUAACAAGACUGCCAGUGCAAACUGUGAGGAAGGUGGGGAUGACGUCAAAUCAUCACGGCCCUUACGUCCUGGCUACACACGUGCUACAAUGGUAGGGACAGAGAGCAGCCACACCGCAAGGUGGAGCGAA
Molecule: ribosomal RNA, 351 nt
Filed under: uncultured bacterium
Lineage: Bacteria
Description: bacterial SSU rRNA
Rfam family: Bacterial small subunit ribosomal RNA
Source: RNAcentral